AGCUUUCUUAGUCGACCAGAGCGUGCUUCUUGAUUUUCUUGAGCUUCGUUCCCAUUUCCCUCUUUCUCUGUAUAGGAACCACAACAAACCCUAGCCUAAUUUACAAGCCAUAGCCAUGACGAUCCGGCAGCUCUUAACCCUAGCCCGCCGGUCCCGAAACCUAUCCUCAUCCCAUUCACUGCGGCGUCUUUCUUCGGCGUCUGCCGCCGUCGCCGCCACAUCCUCCUCCGCCCCGGCCAUCGGUCCGCCACCCCCAGAUGCAAUGAUCUACGAUCGAUUGGCUGAAGACGUUAAACGAAAGAUCAAGAGACUCGAGAAUCCUGAUUCCCGAUUCCUUCAGUACAACUCGCCACACCCAACUUUAGCCGACCACACAUCAAUCCUCAGCUUCCCCUCUACGCGCGUGACUACACUACCAUCGGGCCUGCGUGUGGCCACGGAGACUAAUCUCGCUGUCAAGACUGCCACCGUUGGGGUAUUCAUUGAUGCAGGGUCAAGGUUUGAGACCGAUGAGACUAAUGGAACAGCUCAUUUUCUUGAGCAUAUGAUCUUUAAGGGUACUGAAAAGAGGACUUCUUGGGAAAUGGAGGAGGAGAUUGAGAAUAUGGGUGGACAUUUGAAUGCAUAUACUUCCAGGGAGCAAACAGCAUACUAUGCUAAAGUGUUGGAUAAUGACGUCCCUGUAGCUUUGGAUAUUUUGGCUGAUAUACUUCAGAAUUCUAAGUUCGAAGAGAAAAAGAUUGAACGUGAACGUGAUGUCAUCCUCAGGGAGAUGGAGGAGGUCGAAGGUCAAACAGAGGAAGUCAUCUUUGACCACUUGCAUUCAACUGCAUUCCAGUACUCACCUUUGGGUAGGACUAUUCUUGGACCUGCCCAGAAUAUAAAGACAAUCACCAGAAGUCAUCUGAAGGACUACAUAUCAACACAUUAUACCGCUCCCAGAAUGGUAAUUGUUGCUUCUGGGCCUGUUAAACAUGAAGAAUUUGUUGAGCAAGUUAAGAAACAGUUUACUAAACUUUCAACCAAUCCGAGUACGGCCUCAGAAUUGGUUGCCAGAGAACCAGCAAUUUUUACAGGUUCAGAGGUUAGGGUAAUUGAUGAUGACAUUCCAUUGGCACAAUUUGCUGUUGCUUUUCAAGGGGCACCGUGGACUGAUCCAGAUGCCAUUCCACUGAUGGUAAUGCAAUCCAUGCUGGGCACUUGGAAUAAAAAUGCCGGAGGAGGGAAACACAUGGGCUCCGAUCUGGCACAAAGUGUUGGCAUUAAUGAACUUGCUGAGAGCCAUGAUGUCUUUUAACACCAACUAUAAGGAUACUGGUUUGUUCCGGCGUGGUAUGCUGUUGCAAAAGCCUGAUUGUUUGAGUGAUUUGUCCUACUGCAUUAUGCGCGAGAUAAGCAAAUUGUGCUACCGGGUUUCGGAUGCUGAUGUGACUCGUGCUUGCAACCAGUUGAAGUCUUCUCUCAUGCUACACAUUGAUGGAACUAGUCCUGUUGCUGAAGACAUUGGGCGUCAGCUACUCACAUAUGGCAGAAGGAUUCCAGCUACAGAGCUGUUUGCAAGGGUUGAUGCUGUGGAUGCUAGCACCAUCAAACGAGUUGCAAACAGAUUUAUCUUUGACCAGGAUGUUGCUAUAUCCGCGCUGGGGCCUAUCCAGACACUACCUGAUUAUAACUGGUUCAGACGCAGAACCUACAUGCUCCGUUAUUAGACGAUUCUUUUUUUUCUUUUUUUGGAGUUGUAAUGCAUCACAAUUACACACCUCGCUCGACCAUUCCAAACUUGGACAUAUAGGUCUUACUUUUCCAAUUCUUCCUCUUGCCUACUUUCUGGUUUUGUAACGGUUUUGUAGCUUUUCCCUAUAAAAUAAGCGGCCUAUAUUUAAUAAUUUGGUUGUUGACGUUUGUUUUCAUAUUCUUUGAAAAAAAUUGUACUCGUACAUGCAAAUUAACAUGGUUUACCCUGUACUUUUUAUAUGAAAUCAAGAAUGCUAUGGACCUCAUUCAAAAA
Solanum lycopersicum (tomato) is the source of this 2008-nucleotide non-coding RNA. The record is from RefSeq and is a predicted model, not a curated record. NCBI's taxonomy places the organism in Eukaryota, Viridiplantae, Streptophyta, Magnoliopsida, Solanales, Solanaceae.